Non-coding RNA from Misgurnus anguillicaudatus (oriental weatherfish), 6909 nucleotides. Lineage: Eukaryota; Metazoa; Chordata; Actinopteri; Cypriniformes; Cobitidae. The record is from RefSeq and is a predicted model, not a curated record.
AUCUGAAGAUCCCCCUUCCCACCCCCACUAUUUACUUUAUAAUCUAAACCCAGCAUAUUCAUGUAUAUCCUGCUUUCUAUGAAAUUUAUGCUUGUAUGCAUAUGAAGCAUCCUUCUUUUGAGUGGUGUCCUUUCCUAUCGUAUGGUUCCCAUAACAACUUUAUCCUGUGCCUUAGGUUUCAAAUGUAUACACUGUAUAUCGUAAUGCAACAUGUUUAGAGUAUAUGUCUGCUUAUGCCGUGUUCACAUAAUUGUUUAACAUAUGCUGUCCAGCUCUGAGCUGGUUCACUCAAAUUUCCUCUUGAUGAUUGAUGAUCUUGCACUUACUAUGUUGGGAGGUAUUACACCAUAUCCUCUAGCUUUGCUGCAGGUUGAUUGUGGUUGGGUCAAGUAGGGUAGGCUAAGGACAUGUUCCAGACCCAACUUCUCUGUUUUAAGCACCACUUCCUUGCACGUAGGUAGAACAUAAAACUGUCUAGGAUUGUUUGCUAAAAGUGCAUGCUUGCAGGGUUAAUUUAUCACGUGAUUGUUUGUCUCGACGGAUUUGCUCAAUGUGUUGAUCACAAGAUUAUGACUAAUGGUCCCAAGGUGACUAGCAUUUCCUUUCUGUAUCCUAUAUAAGCUGUAGGAUGUCUAAUAAACUUUGGUCUAUGUUUGAACUGCAUUUCGGUGUCAGUGUCUUUCAUGGUCCCCUGAUAUAUAUCAGACUUCUCUGCUGCUCAUCUCAGACCUCAUCGAGCUACCUCAGUGCAGAAAACUAAAGAAACUUUCAUACCUCUAGACCUGCUUAGAAUUAGAUUCUAACAGUUGGGCGCUCGUCCGGCGAAAGGGGGGAGAUCCUCCGACAGAUCCGGAGACCGAAAAUUCGAACACCGCAGAUCGGGAAGGACCUACAAAAGGGGUAAGUGUCUGCGAUAUUUCUAAUUUUGAAAUACAGCGCUUACCCCCUGUAGUGUCCGGUCUUGUGACUCGAGACAAGAUUUUUAAUUCACUCGGGGCCGAAAAGGCAUGUAGCAGGUGCUACAGAAUAUAACGAGUGAGGUGCUCGCUUCGAAGGACAGAGGGAUUUGGUCGAGAUUAAAUUCGAACACUAAGUUCCGUGAAUAGCUGGAGUUGAAUACUGCCAGCUACAUAGCUAGACUAUGGAUCGAAGCGAAGUCAAAUAUACAGCUGGAGCUCACUGUAUAUUUGGGAUCGCGGUGUUGGUAAAUUGUUAUUUAAUCGUAUAUUUUACGAGCGCGGCCCGUGUUGAAUAAGCUGAUUGGAAAUAAGCUAACAGUAAGCUAGUAUUUGCAUAUGCCCUUUUGAAUGAAAUUGUGAACAAAUAAAAUUUGGACUAAUUCGCUGAAAUUGAAUUUGCAAUUUUGAAAUAAUAAAUUGCUAAAUCGAUGACUGAAUUUUACAAUACGAAUUGACAAGUGAAUGUCUAAAAUCUAUGAACGGUACGAAAUUAUAACUGAGGCUGAGCGGAGGAGCACAGAAAACCCCGGGUGUUUGUCUAUUGCUUAUUUGUGCUUAUUGCUGUUUGCUUGUUAUUGCUGCUAUUAUUUGUUUACAUUGUGUUGAAGAUGGGUGAUUCUGCUACGGCCAGGCAAAAGCCUGAUGAAUUUAUGUAUACAAAUAAUAGAGGUUUUUAUGUUGAACUGUACGUCACUUAGCGGUUAGUAAUAUAAUAACUUUGCAUUGAAAAACCCCAACGCAAGAUGCGCUGCCAUAUUUUAUGUCGAAUAGUAGGCUAAAAGCCUAAGUUUAUCGUUGCCACAAAUUGCUGUAAAAUACGUGAAUGUUUUGCAAUCUCACAAGAGGUAUGCACACGUAACAGGGGCAGAUUUGUGCUAUUUUGUUGAAAACAUUACCGAUGUAACAAAAAACAUAACUGAUACGUGCUGCUGUCUGAUUCGGGAAAACCAUGUGACUGGAGGUGAGGGGACUGCAGCCUCUCGCAAUCCACUCACACGGGAAGAUCAUGAAUAUCAUGAUAUGCUUUUUUGAUCAGCUGCGCGUUCUUCUAAAUAAACGGUUUGGCAUUUACCAGUAUUUAUCAUUUGCAUUAAACGGAAAGAUAAAACCAAAUGAAACUGCCUCUGAAUUUUGCACACGUUUUAAAGCAUUAUGAGUCUAUUCUAGAUUACCGAUUGACAAAGUCUGAGUGCGCUGUUACAAAUAUGCUGUUGAAUAAUAUGAAUCGUAGGUACCGGUAAGUGAAAUCUGUUGGAUAUGAAUGUGAAUAGAUUGAUUUGUGAGUCUGAUGCAUCUGGUGAACAUGCUAUGUUUUCAGUGCAAGUCUCAUCGAACGGGAAAAGGCUUGCUUAAGCACCGGAAAGGAAACUGAGAUUUGAUAUAAUGUGUUAUUAUGUGGACAAAGGGGCCACAUGAAAUGUGACUGUCGUUCAAAAGGGGGGUGAAAUUUUAUUCCAAGGGCGCAACCACGUAGACAGUCAAUGCAACAGCCAAAGCAAGUGCAUCAGAAACUAUCUGACAGUAAUUACCAGACAAACUGGCAUAACAAAACACAAUGAAAUGUUCUGACCCAUUACACCACCUCUGGAGGUAAGAGCUCCAGGUGUCAAACCAUUUUUUUCUUCACAAAUUUCAAAUCAUACCAGAUGUUUGUCUUAAUUUGCUCGGGCGAGACAUAAUGCAUAAGUUAAAAAUGGAAUUUCAUGAUUCUCAUGUUGUUUUCUCUUUUAUGUCAUGUUUACAGACAUACAGUGAUCCUCUGCCUAUGGGGGGAGGAAGUGAGAAGGCCGACCAAGACCCAGUAGCCGCCCGCAUACCACAUGAUGUAGACACCUUGAUUAACCCAUGCCUAUGAACUCAGUCAAACAAUGAUACAGGUUUCAUUGAUAUGAAACCAUACAAAGGUGUCCUCGUACCUACUCGCCAUACAACACACCGAUUAACCCGGUGGUGAAUGCUGAUGGAAAGACAUAAUGUCUUACACAAGAUUUAAGAGCACUCAAUAAACUAAUUCCUCUGUCUCUGAUUGUUCCAGAUGUGCCGACUGUUAUAAAUUUUUCCAUGCACAUACGUAUUUCUGUCAUUGAUUUGUGUGCUGCUUUUGUUUCUCUGUUCCAGUGCAUCCAGACACACAGCCACUGCUAGCCUUAUAGGAUAGGGGGCGCAAGAACUAAGAAGGGUAUGUUGACUCACCAUCCGUCCUCUCCGCUGCAGUGGAAAAAAGACAUUGAAAAAAAAAAGAUCAACUUCCUAUUUUCGGGUUUGCUGUCUGCUGUAUGCCGAUGACAUCAUGGUCUCUGCUCUGACUGAAAAGAACUGUGAGAAAGCCUCCAUUAUCGUCUGCAAUAUUCUGGUGGACGCUGGUUUCAAAGCAUCAAAAAACAGCUCCAGUGGGUCAAGAAAAAGUUCUCGUGCCUGGGUCACAUCAUAAUACCAGGUCUUCAAAAAACCUCCACAGUUCAGAUUGAACUGAUCUAGAAGAUUAAAUUACCACGAACUGUGUAACAGCUCCAAAGUUUUCUGGAGUUCAUAAACUGUUGUCGCUCAUGGAAACCUGAGUGUGCUGCCCAUGACGGACAUUUGCAGAGCCUGAUUGAUCACAAGGCAUCGCCUGCAUCACUGAUAUGCUGGACUGAUGAAGCAGAGACUCAUUUCAUGGCACUGAAACACGCCAUUACUGCGGCCACAACUCUGGGCCAUCCGAACUAUGCAAAAACUUUUUACCUGCAUGCGUGAGAGGCGAAGGGUGUGGCUCUGGGUAUCCUUUGGCAACAACAAGGUUGCACUUAUAGGCCAGUGGCAUAUCUGUCUAGAAAACUAGAUCAUGUAGUUCCAGGUAUGCCUGAAAUGUCUUUAUGCAGUGGCUGCUGAUGUUCUGUUUGUACAGGUGGCUGAGAGAACGGUGCUGUCACAGUCAAUGACUCUACACAUCACAUCAAGUAGGUGCAUUUUUACACAACACAGGAUGGCACAGAGGCGAUCUGGGUAUGAGGCUACGCUGUUGGCAACCAAAAAUGUAACGAUCCAGCCCACUUUUAACAUUAAUUCCACUUUUGCUGGGAGUUUUGGGACUGGUAGAUAUGACUGAGCACGAUCUAAAACAUGAUUGCAUUGUUGAAUUGACCACUUCCUGUUCCUCUAGGGCCGAUUUAAUGGACUCGCCCCUAGAUGGGGGGGUCAGAUCUAUGUGGAUGGCUUAUAUGCAAAGCCAUCGGACGGUGUCUACCUGUGUGGUUAUGCUGUGGUGUCGGAUACUGGUGAGGUUAUUGAAGCCUUUGCUCUAAAUUGCAACUCAGCACAAGCUGCAGAAUUGGUAUUUCUAUUACGAGCUUGUGAGCUAAUGAAAGGAAAAAAGCCACAAUCUACACGACUCAAAAUAUGUGUAUUCUAAAUUUUGUAAAAACAUGGGAAGCCUGAGAUUUUAAGACAGCAGAUGGUAAGCCUAUAGUUUAUUCAAAUUUGAUAUGACGGUUGACAAAAGCAGUACAGCUACCGUCUGAAGUGGCAAUAGUGAAAGUAAAAGGUCAUGAAUCAGGAAAUGAUGACCAGGCUGUGGGAAACAAGAAGAGCAGAUGAGGCUGCAAAAGAAGCAGCUCAAGCUCAAAUUAAAUCACUAUUUGAGUAUGAUGUCAAAACAGACCUUGCUAUGGUUGUGCAAGUGACUAACAUGAAAUUGAUAUAAAAUUUUUGCAGAGUCAACCAACGCAGGCUGACCUCGAAUAUUGGAGCAAGUACGGAUGUGCAGCAGACGAGAAAGGGAGAGUAGCACUUCCAAAACUGGGACUGGUAAUUUUAAUAAGAUAUUACCAUGGUCUAUCACAUACCAGUAGUACAAAGGUGACACAAGCAAUUAAUCCAUUUUAUUAUAUUGCAGAUGUAAAGAAAACCAACAAAUUGAUUUUGGACUCAUGUUUAACCUGUGCAAAAUUGAACCCGCAUCGAAAACCAAAACAUGUAGCGUUGCCACACUUGAGGCACCUUUUUAACAUGAUCAGAUUGAUUUCACGCAUGCUGCCGAUUGGAAAUCUGAAAUAUCUUUUUUAUCCCAUAGAGGAUGCGCAAAAUUUGACAAAAGGAAAUUAUUCCUCGUUUUGGCAUACCAAAACAAUUGAAUCCGACAACGGGACAUUUUUGUGUCCAAAGUAACGUAGCUCUAAGCUAAAGCGCUGUCUAUUGAUUGGCAUUUUAAUAUUAAACGCGAAAAUUAAACAGAGGAUAACCAAAGCUGCGUUAGAAACGGAAAAAAAAAAAGGGUAGAUUUGCUACCUGCUUUAUUAUACGAAAUAAGAAUGACUCCAUCUUCAACCAAACAAUUGUCUUCAUUUGAAAUACUAAUGGGUAGGCCAUUUCCCACCCCGUGGGUCAAAGGCCGCGCAGGCGUUUCUUCCCCAGGUGACCUGGAGGUGAUACAAGAAGACUACGUGGUGUCCAUAAUUGAGAAAUUGAACUCUAUCUGUACUAAUUUUCUUUGUCUCUCCCCUCAGAAAAGCCAACUUACAUUUUGCUCCAGGACAGGUUGUUCUAAAUAGGAGCCUGAAGCCCACGCUGGUAUGAGAGCCAAAAUACCUCGGCCCAGAUAAGGUGAUGGCUGUGACAAAGAUGGGAGUUCUGAUUGACAACCAGCUACAGUGGAUUCACGCCUCAGGGUUGAAGUACCACUCUGCCACGGAGCAGGACACCGGAGACAAACCCAGACAACGACUGCUAGUCAUGGAGAUCAACAGAGAACAACGAGUGAGAGAUCUUGAUGGAAGUUCCACUGCCGAGAGGAUUCGAACCGUGUAUAGUGACCAAAGCUUUCAUCAUCUUCAGCGAGCACAUUGUGGAAGCAGAGCAAAGAGUAAUGGAAGACAACGAACGCAUCACACAACCGACCCUGCAAAAGGGAUUCGUAGAUCAUAUGCUGUGGUAUAUGUGUUUAUUUUGAAUGAUGGUGAUCUGAAAGUUUAUAGGAAAAAUAAAAUAAUAAAGUUCUUGGUUUAUUGAAGAAAAAAAGGGGUUAUUUAGUAAAGUGCAAUUUAAUAAACUAUUUGUAACUAUUUGAUUUCUGAAAUUAGGAAAUGUAUUUUCUUAAAGUAUAUGAAACCAGUGCUUUCCAGAUGUGUACCCAUAACCCUGUUAUAUGCCGUGAGAAAUUGAGGGUAACAUUAACUGUGUAGAACAAACAAUGCAUGCCAUAAAUAAUGUAUCUGGAGUAAAUGGAUUAGUGAUAACUCGACCGAUUGCAAUUUCUGGGUGUGGGAAGAAUUGUGAUCCACUAUCGUGUAUCAAAGGGGCCAUUGUGAGAAUCUAAAGAUGCCCCUUCCCACCCCCACUAUUUACUUUAUAAUCUAAACCGAGCAUAUUCAUGUAUAUCCUGCUUUCUAUGAAAUUUAUGCUUGUAUGCAUAUGAAGCAUCCUUCUUUUGAGUGGUGUCCUUUCCUAUGGUAUGGUUCCCAUAACAACUUUAUCCUGUGCCUUAGGUUUCAAAUGUAUACACUGUAUAUCGUAAUGCAACAUGUUUAGAGUAUAUGUCUGCUUAUGCCGUGUUCACAUAAUUGUUUAACAUAUGCUGUCCAGCUCUGAGCUGGUUCACUCAAAUUUCCUCUUGAUGAUUGAUGAUCUUGCACUUACUAUGUUGGGAGGUAUUACACCAUAUCCUCUAGCUUUGCUGCAGGUUGAUUGUGGUUGGGUCAAGUAGGGUAGGCUAAGGACAUGUUCCAGACCCAACUUCUCUGUUUUAAGCACCACUUCCUUGCACGUAGGUAGAACAUAAAACUGUCUAGGAUUGUUUGCUAAAAGUGCAUGCUUGCAGAGUUAAUUUAUCACGUGAUUGUUUGUCUCGACGGAUUUGCUCAAUGUGUUGAUCACAAGAUUAUGACUAAUGGUCCCAAGGUGACUAGCAUUUCCUUUCUGUAUCCUAUAUAAGCUGUAGGAUGUCUAAUAAACUUUGGUCUAUGUUUGAACUGCA